Molecule: unclassified non-coding RNA, 247 nt
Filed under: Hevea brasiliensis (rubber tree)
Lineage: Eukaryota; Viridiplantae; Streptophyta; Magnoliopsida; Malpighiales; Euphorbiaceae
Source: RNAcentral
GCAUAGUUUUGGAAUUGGAGUAAAAGAGCAUAGAACACUUACCUGAGAGAGUGAGAUGCCAUGGCUGGAGCUAGAACACAGGAAACCCUAAAGAAAAAAGCAAAUAUGAGCUUAAAAUGAAAGAGGCAGCUCCUCUCUCGCCGUGGCGCCUAGGCGAGAGAGGCACUCGCCUCUGUCAAUCAAGGCGAGGAGAGGCAGCAUCGCCUUGCCUGGCGCCUUUUUGCGCCUUUAACCACACUGCUACACG